CCUACGGGAGGCAGCAGUGAGGAAUAUUGGUCAAUGGCCGGAAGGCUGAACCAGCCAAGCCGCGUGAAGGACGAAGGUGCCAAGCAUUGUAAACUUCUUUUGUCAAGGGACAAAAUCAGGCUCGAGAGCCUGACCGAGGGUACUUGAAGAAACAGCAUCGGCUAACUCCGUGCCAGCAGCCGCGGUAAUACGGAGGAUGUGAGCGUUAUCCGGAUUUAUGGGGUUUAAAGGGUGCGUAGGCGGACUGUUAAGUCAGCGGUAAAAGCCCGGGGCUCAACCCCGGCGAGCCGUUGAAACUGGCGGUCUCGAGGUGUCGAGAGGUAUGCGGAAUGCGCAGUGUAGCGGUGAAAUGCUUAGAUAUUGCGCAGAACUCCGAUUGCGAAGGAAGCAUACCGGCGGCGAUCUGACGCUGAGGCACGAAAGCGUGGGUAUCGAACAGGAUUAGAUACCCUUGUAGUC
Molecule: ribosomal RNA, 459 nt
Filed under: uncultured bacterium
Lineage: Bacteria
Description: partial 16S ribosomal RNA
Rfam family: Bacterial small subunit ribosomal RNA
Source: RNAcentral